CAGAGACACUGGUAGACCGGCAGCACAAUGAUGAUGUCACUGACUCUACUGCUGGCCACCCUGGGCCUCCUUGUUCAGGGUUCAUCAGGACAAAUCAUCCUGACUCAGUCUCCUGGAUCUCAGUCUGUUGUUGCAGGACAGACUGUCUCUAUCAGAUGUAAAACCAGUACAAGUGUUUGUAGCUACCUCAGCUGGUACCUUCAGAAAUCUGGAGAAGCUCCUAAACUCCUCAUUUAUUCAGCUACAACCCGUCAGUCUGGAGUUUCAGAUCGUUUUACUGGAAGUGGUUCUGGGACUGACUUCACUCUGACCAUCAGAGGAGUCGAGGCUAAAGAUUCAGGAGUUUACUACUGUCAGCAGGGUUACAACCUGUUCACACAGUGAUACAACGUCGUACAAAAACCUCCCUCAGCUGGAGGGGAACUGAUCUGACUCAACAGCUGCACUGAAACUAAAACAACAGAAGCUUGACUAAACUAAAAUAUAUAUUUAAUAAUAAUUGACGUUAAGCAUUUUAACACUAAAUAUACUUUAUCUAACUAGAAGUUAUACUGUAAAGUAUUUAAAUUAAAAAGGGUUUAAAACAUUAUGCUGCCCUGCGAUGGACUGGCGACCUGUCCGGGGUGUACCCUGCCUUUCGCCCGACGUAUGCUGGGAUUGGCUCCAGCCCCCCCACGACCCUGUGCGCGGGAUAAGUGGUUGACGAUGGAUGGAUGGAUGGAUGAAACAUUAUGCUGCAUAUAAAAGCUGACCUCUGUUGAAGAAUGAUUUCAACUCUUUGAGUUUAAUCCACAGUGUAUAACACAUGAACACUAAACCUGUAAAUAUUAUUCAUUUAUUUUAUAUCUUAUCACUUUUCAUUGA
Perca fluviatilis (European perch) is the source of this 864-nucleotide non-coding RNA. The record is from the annotation of a RefSeq genome assembly. NCBI's taxonomy places the organism in Eukaryota, Metazoa, Chordata, Actinopteri, Perciformes, Percidae.